AACAGCUUAAGAAAAAAAAAAAAAAGAGAAAUGAAGUAACAAUAUUAAUUGUGUCCACACGGACCUUUUUGAAUGUGACACCUGAAGUGAGAGUUGGACGUGAGAUGCACGUAGGUUGUACUGUGCGUGUCAGUAAAUUAAUAAAGCGUUGCCCAAUUGGGCUGUUAUAAAGUUAUUCUGUAGUCCUUUUAUGCGAAUAGGAGCAGAAUAAAACAGCUACUAUUGGAAAUGAUCAGCCCCCCUCCUUCAAACCCCACACCCUUGUUAGAGGGUUGCAUUUGUGAAAGUGAAAGUUAGCGCCCGCAACUUUUACCCACGACGCAUGUUUCGUGGAUUUAAGGAGUCGAAAGGGAAAAUCCUAUGCAUUCUUUAAAUUAAAACUGGGAUAUUACAGCUCUUGAUGCACGGAAUUACUUAUCGGAUAUGAUUCAAAAAUGCGUUUGGAUCUUGCUGCCUUGCGCGCAUUCUGCAGCAUUAUACAGAUGAUCUCCCUGACGACGUCUUUUCUCAUUUCAGUCACCUGCUUUUUACCAAGAAAACACAGAGGAAAGGACUCAGAUGUCAUGUUGUACACUCCAAAUUUAGAUAUUAUUGCAAAAGAACAAGGCUGCGAGUGCUUCUUCAUGAAGUGCUUCCUCAUGGAGCUACAGGUCUACCAGGCAGAAAAUGAGCUGGACUUCAAUACAACAAAAGACUACCUUAAACACAUAAAACAGGAUAUCAGAACCUGUUCACCAUGUGAGGCUCAACCUGCUGCCAAUAUUUCCACAUUCUUUACAAGUCUGAGUGAGACCUUGGAUCGCUAUAGUUCGGAGAACACUGAGUGCUUUGACUGACUCAAAGACUGCGCUUUAGUAACCAAAGGGAUUCUUGCUGAGUAUCUUCUGUGGUUAAAAUAAGCUAUAUUGUGAUACAAGUUGUUUAUUGGCAAUUCUAUAUGUAUAUGUGUAUUUGUAAUAGAUAGAUGGAUACUUUAUUAAUCCCGAGGGAAAUUUAGGUCAUCCAGUAGCUUAUACACUUAACUUAACUGUGUGUGAGGAUAGCGCAAAGUGAUAUAAAUAGUGAAGUCUGUGCAAGGGGCUAGUAUAGCCAGUAAAAGGAUGGACAGUGGGAUGGAAUAUAAUGAGAUGAGAAGAGGAGGGCAGACUGAGGUAGACUCAUGCAGAGAAGUCCAUCUCCCUGCCCCUCCCCUUCUGCAUGGCGUUAUAAAGCUGUAUGGCCCUGGGGACAAAGGACUUCCUCAGCCUGUCCGAUGAGCAUGACAGUGACAGGAGUCUGCCACUGAAUAUGCUCAUCUGUCCGUUGAGAGUUAUGUGUAGUGGGUGGUGGACAUUGUCCAAGAUGGUCAGCAACCUACUCAGGGUCCUUCUCUCCGCCACUGUUGUGAGACACUCUAGUUCAGUGCCAACAACAGCUAAUGAUACUUUGAAUGUAAAGACCACUAUGUUACAAGGCAUGGAAAGUCGCCUUACUCACUUAUCAAGGGUGCCUGCCUCUGAAGGGCCUCAGACAUGGGUGUGUUUGCCUUCUGUUUCUGUCAUGGAACUGAGAUAGCACUGGCGGGGAUGCACUGUAUUCAGAUCUAUUAGAGUAAAAUGAUGUCUGGGAAACUAGACUGCACUAUCUAGUACAUGUAUGUAUGUCUAUGUAAGUAUUUACGCAUAUGUGUGUGCUGCAUGAUUGAAACAAACUUUUAAGUGUGAGUGUCCGACAGAUACAGGAAGGAAGCCAUAGUUCACAAGGAGAGGUACUGUUGAGUAAGAACUGCUUCCACUUUCAGUGUACUGACUUGCUACAAUACUUUCACUUUCUAUAUUAAAUGUAGCAAUGACAAUGGCUUCGGUAUACAGUGUGAAGAAUCUGUCUGUAACAGCAGUUACAGCCAAAAGCCUAAACCAUAAGUUUGUUUUAAUCAUGCGUGUAGGCUUAAGGGGAACCAAUUAGUAGGUGCAGGGGACUCAUGAUCCCUAGUCUCAGGGAGCCAACACUACUGAGCUUGCUUAAUGGGGAGCUGGCCAGUUCAGUCCCCCAUAAAAAAACAACCCUACCCUACAAUUGCUCGCACCACUCCCUGAAAAAACAUCUCCGCUGUGGAGCUGCAAUCUGAGUUAUGAGAGACUGGCAAAGCGGAGGCGUCUAGACCCGGGACUCCAACAUUCGGCCCGCCCUCCUGGCGCUGCUGGCAUGACUGCAGAUGUCCUCACUGUCCUUAAGUCUCAGAACAUGCAAUGAACGCAGGAAGUCCAAGUGGCGCUCGGCUAGAAAAAGGAUCGGAGGCGUUCCAGAACCUCUCCCUGGACCUCCAGCUGUUCCUCUGCGCCCCACAACUCCCAGGGGUCCACAACUGUCACUUUUUUUUUGGUCCUGUUUUGAUGGAUCAUGGAACAGUUUGGUUGGUCAGUUCUCUCUUCCUUUCAGGGCCCCUCAAAUGCUACCGCUUUUAUAUCUCUGUGUCAGAGCCAAAUGUAUUUUAUUCUUUUCUUAAAUAAUGAUAUUCCUUUCUUUUUCGAAACAGCCACCUGUCUUUGUAGUUCAUUCAUUCAUUCAUUCAUUCAGUCAGCCAUCCAUUCAUUCAUUUGCUUGUGUCACAGUAUGUAUGCACUCUUGUGACCUGUGAGACCACUGAAGCCAACAGUAAAGUACACAAAACUAUUUACCAAACAAGUAUGAGUUUGAAUACUUGAUGCCUGAAUAAGAGAUGUUUCAGCAGCUUUUAUGGUAAAAAAAAAAAACAAUGUGAAAAAGUGCCAUUAUGGUGAAGCCACUGCAUCAGGCAAAACAAACGUACACCAACUUUGAAGCUUUGGGACCUUAUAAAGAAGACUAGUUUGGUUGUAGACAUAUAUGUGUGUAUGAAGUUAAAACUCCACUGUAAAACACUUUGAAGCUGUUUAAAAGUUAAUGGGCCUAUUUUGAAGGUGAAAACAGCCUAUUCUGCCCGGUCGAGUUGUCUAAACUCCAGCGAUAAACGAAACUUUUCUCCCCCGAGGCGUGGAUUUUGGAUAUAGGUGACAAGUUCUUCGUUGAUAGGUGUGACGGUAUGCAUGCCGACCGUCACGGCAGCGUUGCGCUGCCUCCAUUUACGGACAAUGUACAAGUGCAAAUGUUUGCCUCUGUGUGUUUUAUGUGUGUUUUCCGUGCCCGUAUGCAGUUUUUAUAUGUUUGGUAACCAUGUCAUUCAUCAUACACACCGUGAAUUAUAUUAGCGCAUUUGUCAACCAUUACACCUCUACAGUUUAAAUACAUCCUUACCCAUCGUUUUUUUCUGUUAUAAUAACCACACCAUACAAUGUCUUGACUCUUAAAUGUUCCGUUUAUUUAGUUUAAAAUCAUACAUCACAAUGUCAUAUUUCAUAGCAUUUGUCUUACGGUCAGUGUCUCGUCUUGUAUUUGUUUGUUCGUGUAAAGACGGUCUGCGCCUUAACGCAGAUUUAAAAAGACACUAACUUCUAUUAGGAAUUAAGUUUGGUAGCUGUUUAAGCCUAAUGGUUUUGCCUGCCGGAAACACCCCUGUAUAUUGCUGUAUAGGGGCCUGUGCAGGCACUAUUUAGGCUGGGCUCUUUAGUCUUCCCAGAGGGCUGCUGAUGGGUGGACGUAAGUCCUAGAGCUGUGUGAAUUUGCCUUUGACCUGUGAAUAUGCUUAUACUAGUCGACUGCUUAUUUGAUUCAUUGUUUUGACUAUCAUGUCAACUUUAUUUUUUGUAUUGUAAAGUAUUUUUUUGUUGUUAGUAUUUUCCUUGUUUUUACUGCCUUUUUGGCCAUCAUUGGGAAAAAUAAAGAUUCCCAUCAUCUAACCUAAACCUCCUAAGUACUCCUGAGAGUUUCUCCAUCUAGAGUUUCUCAACCGCUUUGAACACAUCUACCCUUAACAAUAGGUAACAUUUUAAUGCGCCAAUCACAAACCAUCACUACCCAAGCCUGAUUUAUCUAUCUGGCAAAUACUAUUUUCCCUUUAUUGGAAUAGUGGGGCAUUAUGCCUACAUAUUUUUGUUUUGGCAAGGAAGCGGGCUUCGGUUAAUGUACUUACUCUAUCUUGAAUGUCCCUGUACACAUAUCCUGGCAGGCUUUAAAAAAAUUAUUAAAUGUUUGUUUAAGGUCAAACACCUUGAAAGCGCCUGGUAAGUCAGCAGUAAACGAAUGUCAUACAUGAUGUAAAUAAUGACAUUUCAUGUUAUUUCUAUUCAAGUUUCAAGUUAGUCAUGUAGUAAAAAGGGCAUUUAUCAGUAAUGAAAUAUUCACAUACAACUCCACUUCAGACCACUUCAAAAUGAUCAGUUUCUCUAGUUUUACUAUUUAUUGGUAUGUGUUUGAGUAAAAUUAAAAAAAUGUUGUUUCAUUCUAUAAACUACUGACAACAUUUAUCCCAAAUUUUACAAACAAAUUAUUUGCAGAAAAUGGCAACUGGUCAAAAUAACAAAAAAGAUGUUUUCAGAAUCUAAGAAGAGUUCAGAAAUUUGGUGGAAUUACCUUGAUUUUCAAUCACAGCCUUCGUGUGUCUUGGCAUGCUCUCCAGCAGUCUUUCACAUUGCCGUUGUGUGACUUAAUGCCACUCCUGGUGCAAAAAUUCAAGCAGCUAGGCUUUGUUUGAUGGCUUGUGACCAUCCAUCUGGUGGUCUUUCAUCCACACCUUCACUGACCUGGCUGUGUGGCAUGUAGCAUUGUCCUGCUGGAAACACCACUCCUCAGAGUUGGGGAACAUUGUCAAAGCAGAAGGAAGCAAGAUUUCUUCCAGGACAACUUUGUGAUUCAAUGGGUCAUUCACAAAGACAAAUCUGCCCAAUUCCAGCCUUGCUGAAGAACCCCCAGAUCACCACCGAUCCUCCACCAAAUUUCACAGUAGGUGCUUGACACUGGCUUGUAGGCCUCUCCAGGUCUCCGUCUAGCCAUUAGAUUACCAGGUGUUGGGCAAAGCUGAACAUUUGACUCAUCGGAGAAGAUGACCUUACUCCAGUCCUCUAUGGUCCAAUCCUUAUGGUCUUUU
Molecule: long non-coding RNA, 4981 nt
Organism: Clupea harengus (Atlantic herring)
Lineage: Eukaryota; Metazoa; Chordata; Actinopteri; Clupeiformes; Clupeidae
Source: Ensembl